Molecule: long non-coding RNA, 645 nt
Filed under: Salmo salar (Atlantic salmon)
Lineage: Eukaryota; Metazoa; Chordata; Actinopteri; Salmoniformes; Salmonidae
Description: lncRNA (ENSSSAG00000116371.1)
Source: RNAcentral
CUCUCCGCACUGCUAAAGCUAACUCUCUCUCCUCUGCUCUCAUCCUUCUAGAACUAUCUGCUGCCUUUGAUACUGUGAACCAUCAGAUCCUCCUCUCCACCCUCUCCGAGUUGGGCAUCUCCGGCGCGUCCCACGCUUGGAUUGCGUCCUACCUGACAGGUCGCUCCUACCAGGUGGUGAAUCGCAUCUCUGCAUGUCUGGCAGACAUAUCAGUGUGGAUGACGGAUCACCACCUCAAGCUGAACAUCGGCAAGACGGAGCUGCUCUUCCUCCCGGGGAAGGACUGCCCGUUCCAUGAUCUCGCCAUCCCGGUUGACAACUCCCUUGUGUCCUCCUUCCAGAGUGCUAAGAGCCCCGGCGUGACCCUGGACAACACCCUGUCGUUCUCCACUAACAUCAAGGCGGUGACCCGAUCCUCCCCUGUGUAACACUCGUCGUUGAAAGGGGACCAAAACGCAGCGGUCAAUACACGGGCGCAGACCUCCAUCCUUCUUCUUCACAAAAAGGAAACUUGAGGAGGCAGGUGAAGUGGAGGGCCGAAUGUAUCCCUGCCCCAGGGAUUCAGAGACAUAUGUUUCCAUAGCCGCCGUCUCUUCCUGUGACAGAGGAUACACAUGACUCGUGGGAAGUGCUGCGUCUACCAGG